This 1092-nucleotide long non-coding RNA is filed under the name Monodelphis domestica (gray short-tailed opossum). Its description in RNAcentral is "lncRNA (ENSMODG00000037871.1)". The record is from RNAcentral. Lineage: Eukaryota; Metazoa; Chordata; Mammalia; Didelphimorphia; Didelphidae.
AGAAGUGAGUUUCCCAUAGACACAGUGUUGGAACCAGGAUCUGAACUUCAACUUUGGUCUCCUUUUCAGAGCACCAGCUACUUUCACCCAGGACAGGAACCUAUCUGGAUGAUGGACCCAGGACCAUAAAUUUGUGUUGGAAUGGUCCUUGGAAGUCAUCUACUUCAACAUCAACAUUUUACAAAAGUGGACACUGAGACCAAGAGAAGUUGGGUGACUUGUCUAAGGUCACACAGAUCCUGCUCUUCCUCCCUGCCUUCAUCUGGACUAUUCUUACUGAGAGGAAGGAGGUACAUUUGGCACACACUCCCCACUUCUCCAAAUGUUGAAUCCUUUCAGUUCUUUAAAGUACAAUUCAAGUAGGCAACUAGGUGAGUCAGAGAAUUGAGAACCAGGUCUACAGAUGGGAGGUCCUGAGUUCAAAUGUGGCCUCAGACACAUCCUAUCUGGGUGGCCCUGGGCAAGUCACUGAACCCCAUUGCCUACCCUUACCACUCUUCUACCUUGGAACCGAUAUACUACAGUAUUGAUUCUAAGACAGAAGGUAAAGAUUUAAAAAACCAAACAAGCAACACAACUCUAAUAUUUCUUCCUUCGUGAAACUCUUCCUUGCUUCUCCAGCUGAUACCUUCUCAUAGCACUGUGCUUAAUAUCUCUAGUACAUAUAUGUGCUGUUUCUUGUUAUAAUAGAUCACAGUCAAUGGGCCUUUCUCCUUACUAGGCUGUAAGUUCCAUAAAUUCAGGGGACAUGUCAUAUCUAACCUUUCUCUCACCCUGAGUGUCUGCCUUUCAGCCGUUUUCAAUCAUAUCUGAUUCUUUGUGACCCCAUUUGUGAUUUUCUUGGCAAAGAUACUGGAAUGAUUGGCCCUUUCCUUACUCCUGCUCAUCUAACAGAUGAGGAAACUGAGGCAAACAGGGACAAGUGACUUGUCUAGGAUCACAGAUCUAGGAAGUGUCUGAGGUCAGAUUUGAACUCAGGAAGAUGAGUUUUCCUGACUCCAGGUUGGGCAUUCUAUCUACUCUGCCACCUAGCUGCCCAUGUACUGCCUAACACUUAAUAAAUGUCAAGUUUCUUGAUUUAUAGUUGAAUCC